RNAcentral lists this ribosomal RNA (253 nucleotides) under uncultured bacterium. RNAcentral's name for it is "partial 16S ribosomal RNA". It matches the Rfam family "Bacterial small subunit ribosomal RNA", at positions 524 to 776 of the family's 1533-position model. The record is from RNAcentral.
UACGUAGGGUGCGAGCGUUGUUCGGAAUUACUGGGCGUAAAGGGCGCGUAGGCGGCCCGCUAAGUCGAACGUGAAAUCCCCGGGCUCAACCCGGGAACUGCGUCCGAUACUGGUGGGCUUGAAUCCGGGAGAGGGAUGCGGAAUUCCAGGUGUAGCGGUGAAAUGCGUAGAUAUCUGGAGGAACACCGGUGGCGAAGGCGGCAUCCUGGACCGGUAUUGACGCUGAGGCGCGAAAGCCAGGGGAGCAAACGGG